AGUCGAAUGCCGAUUUAUCGGCAUGGCAGACGGCUGAGUAAUACAUGGGAAUCUACCUCAAACUCGAGAAUAGCCCAUCGAAAGGUGGUGUAAUACUCGAUAGUUCCGUUUACGGUAAAGCUCCGGCGGUUUGAGAUGAGCCCAUGUCCUAUCAGGUUGUUGGUGGGGUAAUUGCCUACCAAGCCUAUGACGGGUAGCUGGUUUGAGAGGAUGAUCAGCCAGACUGGGACUGCGAUACGGCCCAGACUCCUACGGGAGGCAGCAACUAGGAAUCAUGCGCAAUGGACGAAAGUCUGACGCUGCGACGUCGCGUGAGGGAUGAAGGUCUUCGGAUCGUAAACCUCUUUUAUCUGGGAACAAGUUCUGAGUGUACCAGAUGAAUAAGUGCCUGCCAACCACGUGCCAGAAGCAUCGGUAAUGCGUGGGGCACGAGCGUUAUCCGGAUUUACUGGGCGUAAAGAGAUGCGUAGGCGCCUUUUUAAGUCACUUGUAAAAUCUCCCCGCUCAACGGGGAAACUGCAAGUGAUACUGAAUUGGUUGAGUCAAGUAGAGGAGAGGGGAAUUCCUGGUGGAGCGGUUAAAUGCGUUGACAUCAGGAGGAAUACCAAGUGCGAAGGCACCUCUCUGGACUUGUACUGACGCUAAGGCUCGAAAGUGUGGGGAGCAAAACGGAUUAGAUACCCGUGUAGUCCACACUGUAAACGAUCCCUGCUAG
This 715-nucleotide ribosomal RNA is filed under the name uncultured organism. RNAcentral's name for it is "bacterial SSU rRNA". It matches the Rfam family "Bacterial small subunit ribosomal RNA", at positions 60 to 819 of the family's 1533-position model. The record is from RNAcentral.